CGGGGCGUGGCGCAGCCUGGUAGCGCGCCUGUUUUGGGGACAGGAAGCCGGAGGUUCAAAUCCUCUCGCCCCGACCA
Molecule: transfer RNA, 77 nt
Filed under: Desulfobacteraceae bacterium 4572_88
Lineage: Bacteria; Pseudomonadati; Thermodesulfobacteriota; Desulfobacteria; Desulfobacterales; Desulfobacteraceae
Description: tRNA-Pro
Rfam family: tRNA
About the family: Transfer RNA (tRNA) molecules are approximately 80 nucleotides in length.
Source: RNAcentral